Molecule: long non-coding RNA, 1706 nt
Filed under: Erythranthe guttata (spotted monkey flower)
Lineage: Eukaryota; Viridiplantae; Streptophyta; Magnoliopsida; Lamiales; Phrymaceae
Description: long non-coding RNA (EGUT_LNC003482)
Source: RNAcentral
GCUUCUAUAAUUUUCGAAGCUUGAAAUAAUUGAGAUACAGAAAAUACAAGUAUCAUUAGACUGCAAAUCGAAUAUGGAAUGAUAUAUCAUUAGACCGCAAAAGGGUCUUCUAUUGCCCGAUAUAUUUCUAAUUUAAUUAAAAUGGCGUACAUAAUCGAAUCUGGACCACAAAUCCUAAUGCACACCAUAUUUAUGAAAUUUAACUUCGAUGACGUAAGAAUCGAAAUCUGGACCACUCAAACGUAUCAAUGGUUGCAGUCUUCAAAAUUUUCUAAUAGGAGCCAAAUAUUUGAAGGUUGGCUUCUUCAUUUUCGACAACAAGGAAUGUCAUCCAUGAACACCGAGCAGGAUGGAUGCGGUUGGUAAUAUAUUUCGUCUCACCACCAUAGCUUCUCCAGAGUUCCAUUGUUAACCCCUGAAAUUAAAUUCCACAAAAUUAAAACUUCAAGAUUAAUCAUUGCACAAGUAAAAGUUUCAUCAAUUUUUAUCACAAAUUAAAGUAGAUUUUAUUCUUUCUAAUAUUUAGUUGAAAUGAUGAUUCGAGAUAAUUCGCCAACACUCGGUCUAAACCAUCUACAAGGAACCAAGGACCUUUGUCUACCUGAAAAGGAAUGCUAAAAUCCGUUUACAGCCUGCCCCAUCGUGUAUAUAAUAUAAUAAUGUCUAGAAGUUUAAAGAUAACUAAAUAAUUACACAACACACAUCAUCUUUCCCAUAACACUUUAUAUUUUUUCUUGAAUUCAGAACAAUCCAUUUGAGAAAUCCAUUUAUUGAGCAAACAAUUUUCAAAUCUAGAGCUGUUAUAGAUUUCCUCUUUUUUUUUUUUUUUUUUCUAGCAGAACAAAGUACUUACACAUUUUUAAUUCUGAGAGCACAUCGAAGUUCACCAACUCCAUAAUUGCAAUAUACGCUAUAUACAAAGAAAAUAUUCAUUUAGUAAUGCAAGAAAAAUUGUCGGUUACAAAUACUUAAUCAAGUAGGUAAGAAUUCCAGUGGAUAUUAAACUUACUGAUACACAGCCAAGGAAACUGUCAGUUAACGAAAUCCCCCGAGUGCUUAUGAUCCAACAAAGCCAAAUCUUAAUCCACGUUUAUACCCUAUCCCUGUUCAUAAUGGUGUACAUAAUGAUAAUCCUAAUCCUGAACCUCAAAAUUCUAUCUAUCAUCUCCCAAUCCAAAUCAGUGUUUAUCCAACUUAUGAGAUCAAUGGAACAUUAACUCAAAAACAAUUUCUUAUGAGCCAACCAAGCCAAAUUAAAUAGGUUCCAUCCUCAUAUAUACCUAAAUAAAAACGAACACUAAAUAAUUCCAUUAAAGCAGCAAAAUCACAACCAUACUCAUAUGCACCUAAAAAUUAACAUAACAAAAAUAUAGGAAACUGCAUAAACGAAGCACCUUAAUAUAUGGAUGUACAUACGUAUGAAGUCGAUGUUAGAAAAACACAAAUGAAUCUAUUUUUACAGACAUAAAUCAAAGCAAGUACUUUUUGUUGCUUUCAAACCCGAAUUCCAACUUUCUCCGUCUCUUAGCUUGCCCAUCGUAGAAGAUUGAGAGGGGGCGGCCAGACCAUCAUAUUUCCCAGUGAUUCCAUCUUUCUUGGUUUUCUUGGCCAUCGGAAAGUAAUUGACGGGGCCGGCGAGACGAUUAAGCAGAGCGAAGAAAGUAGGGAUCCUGCUUAAUCUCAUCGGCAUAUAUUUCGUUUUGGUG